RNAcentral lists this ribosomal RNA (253 nucleotides) under uncultured bacterium. Its description in RNAcentral is "partial 16S ribosomal RNA". It matches the Rfam family "Bacterial small subunit ribosomal RNA", at positions 524 to 776 of the family's 1533-position model. The record is from RNAcentral.
UACGUAGGGGGCAAGCGUUGUCCGGAAUCAUUGGGCGUAAAGCGCGCGUAGGCGGCCCGGUAAGUCCGUUGUGAAAGUCAAAGGCUCAACCUUUGAAUGCCGAUGGAUACUGCCGGGCUCGAGUCCGGAAGAGGCGAGUGGAAUUCCUGGUGUAGCGGUGGAAUGCGCAGAUAUCAGGAGGAACACCAAUAGCGAAGGCAGCUCGCUGGGACGGUACUGACACUGAGGCGCGAAAGCGUGGGGAUCAAACAGG